UACGGAGGGUGCAAGCGUUAAUCGGAAUUACUGGGCGUAAAGCGCGCGUAGGUGGCUUGAUAAGCCGGUCGUGAAAGCGCCGGGCUCAACCUGGGAACGGCAGCCGGAAAUGGCAAGCUAGAGUGCAGGAGAGGAAGGUAGAAUUCCCGGUGUAGCGGUGAAAUGCGUAGAGAUCGGGAGGAAUACCAGUGGCGAAGGCGGCCUUCUGGACUUACACUGACACUGAGGUGCGAAAGCGUGGGUAGCAAACAGG
This 253-nucleotide unclassified non-coding RNA is filed under the name uncultured Halomonadaceae bacterium. Its description in RNAcentral is "contains 16S-23S intergenic spacer region". It matches the Rfam family "Bacterial small subunit ribosomal RNA", at positions 524 to 776 of the family's 1533-position model. Lineage: Bacteria; Pseudomonadati; Pseudomonadota; Gammaproteobacteria; Oceanospirillales; Halomonadaceae. The record is from RNAcentral.